Molecule: long non-coding RNA, 224 nt
Filed under: Phaseolus vulgaris (common bean)
Lineage: Eukaryota; Viridiplantae; Streptophyta; Magnoliopsida; Fabales; Fabaceae
Description: long non-coding RNA (PVUL_LNC002237)
Source: RNAcentral
GCAUACUGUGAGAGAGAACAUUGCACGGUUCCUUGAGAGUUCUUAAGUGUUUUUGCUCUUAGUAUUUGGUGGUUCGGUCACUGACUUGGGCGUUGGAGUGCGAUCGGCCGCAGCGGCGCCGCUCUGUUCUUUUGCAGGUUCUUGAGGUGGAUCGCGACGAAGGACGGAGGUUGAAGCGGUGCACACGUCGAUCCAAGUUUGACGAGGCAAGAUCCAACGUUCUG